UACGUAGGGGGCAAGCGUUGUCCGGAUUUAUUGGGCGUAAAGAGCGUGUAGGCGGCUAGGUAGGUCCGUUGUGAAAACUCGAGGCUCAACCUCGAGACGCCGAUGGAAACCAUCUGGCUAGAGUCCGGAAGAGGAGAGUGGAAUUCCUGGUGUAGCGGUGAAAUGCGCAGAUAUCAGGAAGAACACCCGUGGCUAAGGCGGCUCUCUAGUACGGUACUGACGCUGAGACGCGAAAUCGUGGGGAGCGAACAGG
This 253-nucleotide ribosomal RNA is filed under the name uncultured bacterium. Its description in RNAcentral is "partial 16S ribosomal RNA". It matches the Rfam family "Bacterial small subunit ribosomal RNA", at positions 524 to 776 of the family's 1533-position model. The record is from RNAcentral.